UUUUGUUAGGGUUUGGGGGUCUUUGGAAGAAUUAGUUUCAUUCCCUUCACUUUUCAGAAAGUGAGCGCCGACCUCCCACCCCCACUUCCCACUUCCUCUCUCAAGUUCUCCAUACCUCCCUGUUCCGCCGCCCACCUCGCUACCUCCGGCGCCCCAAUCGCCGAGCCCUCCCGGACUCCAUCUCUCUCGUUGCUCCUUCUCUCUUGCCCUCCCAUUGCCGCUCGUCUCCUCUCCUCAAUAACAUCCAACACCGUACAUCGCCGCCUCCGCUUCCCCAUCGCCGUCGCGCAUUUAGAGUGUUUGUUCAAAGAAAAGACAAUAUGAUCCGAUUGAUUAUGAGUGUAUAGACAAAGUAGAGUUUUGGGUGAUUGAUGAAGAUGCUAAUGAAGAGCUUGAUUAUGAGGAGUUGGAGGAAAUGUUAGAUGAAUAACAAGCAAAAGAUUUGAUGAUGAUGGAAAUACUGGUAGCAUCAACGAUGGUUCUUGUGACUUGAGUUGCAUUAAGUUUGAAGUUGGAAAUGAAAGUGAUUGAGAUGAUCACUAAGUAUUUUGUUUUGAGUUCGUAGCUUGGUAUUUUGAUAAAGACUUAUGUAUUUUGAUAAAGACUGGUAUAUUUAGAUAUUUAAACUUAUUGGUCUUGUUUAUUUUGGUAUUUGAACUUAUUGGUAUUGUAAUGCAAGCUGACCAGCAUAGCAUGGCAUGGCAGUGUAUCGGAAAAUACUUAAGAUGCAUUGCGUGGCACCAAAUAUGCCAUUUUUGAUA
Salvia splendens (bonfire salvia) is the source of this 761-nucleotide long non-coding RNA. RefSeq lists it as uncharacterized. The record is from RefSeq and is a predicted model, not a curated record. Lineage: Eukaryota; Viridiplantae; Streptophyta; Magnoliopsida; Lamiales; Lamiaceae. The transcript is spliced from 3 exons.